This 375-nucleotide ribosomal RNA is filed under the name uncultured bacterium. Its description in RNAcentral is "partial 16S ribosomal RNA". It matches the Rfam family "Bacterial small subunit ribosomal RNA", at positions 338 to 729 of the family's 1533-position model. The record is from RNAcentral.
CCUUCGGGAGGCAGCAGUGGGGAAUAUUGCACAAUGGGGGGAACCCUGAUGCAGCGACGCCGCGUGAGUGAAGAAGGAUUUCUGUAUGGAAAGCUCCUUCAGUAGGGAAGAAGAAAGACGGUACCUUACCAAUAAGCCCCGGCUAACUACGUGCCAGCAGCCGCGGUAAUACGGAGGGGGCAAGCGUUAUCCGGAUUUACUGGGUGUAACGGGAGCGUAGACGGCAGGGCAAGUCUGGGGUGAAAGGCAGGGGCCCAACCCCUGGACUGCUCUGGAAACUGUCCGGCUGGAGUGCAGUGGAGGUAAGUGGAAUUCCUAGUGUAGCGGUGAAAUGCGUAGAUAUUAGGAGGAACACCAGUGGCGAAGGCGGCUUAC